GGUUGCGUAGUGUAGUGGUUAUCACUCCAGAUUUUGAUUCUGGUAACCCCGGUUCGAGCCCGGGCGCGACCU
RNAcentral lists this transfer RNA (72 nucleotides) under Pyrenophora tritici-repentis Pt-1C-BFP. Its description in RNAcentral is "tRNA-Gln (TTG) (tRNA-Gln-TTG-1-1)". It matches the Rfam family "tRNA". Rfam says of the family: Transfer RNA (tRNA) molecules are approximately 80 nucleotides in length. RNAcentral also lists the same sequence under 1 other name. The record is from RNAcentral. Lineage: Eukaryota; Fungi; Ascomycota; Dothideomycetes; Pleosporales; Pleosporaceae.